AAAGAAUUGACGGGACCGCACAAGCGGUGGAUGAUGUGGAUUAAUUCGAUGCAACGCGAAAACCUUACCUACCCUUGACAUGUCCGGAAUCCCGAAGAGAUUUGGGAGUGCUCGCAAGAGAACCGGAACACAGGUGCUGCAUGGCUGUCGUCAGCUCGUGUCGUGAGAUGUUGGGUUAAGUCCCGCAACGAGCGCAACCCUUGUCAUUAGUUGCCAUCAUUUGGUUGGGCACUCUAAUGAGACUGCCGGUGACAAACCGGAGGAAGGUGGGGAUGACGUCAAGUCCUCAUGGCCCUUAUGGGUAGGGCUUCACACGUCAUACAAUGGUCGGUACAGAGGGUUGCCAACCCGCGAGGGGGAGCUAAUCCCACAAAGCCGAUCGUAGUCCGGAUCGCAGUCUGCAACUCGACUGCGUGAAGUCGGAAUCGCUAGUAAUCGUGGAUCAGCAUGUCACGGUGAAUACGUUCCCGGGUCUU
This 476-nucleotide ribosomal RNA is filed under the name uncultured Rhodocyclaceae bacterium. Its description in RNAcentral is "bacterial SSU rRNA". It matches the Rfam family "Bacterial small subunit ribosomal RNA", at positions 904 to 1382 of the family's 1533-position model. The record is from RNAcentral. Lineage: Bacteria; Pseudomonadati; Pseudomonadota; Betaproteobacteria; Rhodocyclales; Rhodocyclaceae.